This 253-nucleotide ribosomal RNA is filed under the name uncultured bacterium. Its description in RNAcentral is "partial 16S ribosomal RNA". It matches the Rfam family "Bacterial small subunit ribosomal RNA", at positions 524 to 776 of the family's 1533-position model. The record is from RNAcentral.
UACGAAGGGUGCAAGCGUUACUCGGAAUUACUGGGCGUAAAGAGCGCGCAGGCGGUCGUUCAAGUCGAGUGUGAAAGCCCCCGGCUCAACUGGGGAGGGUCACUCGAUACUGAUCGACUCGAAGGCAGGAGAGGGAAGUGGAAUUCCCGGUGUAGUGGUGAAAUGCGUAGAUAUCGGGAGGAACACCAGUGGCGAAGGCGACUUCCUGGCCUGUUCUUGACGCUGAGGCGCGAAAGCUAGGGGAGUAAACGGG